AGGGGAGUAGCUCAGCGGUUAGAGCACCCGACUCAUAAUCGGUAGGUCGAGAGUUCGAUCCUCUCCUCCCCUA
Molecule: transfer RNA, 73 nt
Filed under: archaeon
Lineage: Archaea
Description: tRNA-Met
Rfam family: tRNA
About the family: Transfer RNA (tRNA) molecules are approximately 80 nucleotides in length.
Source: RNAcentral